Oncorhynchus keta (chum salmon) is the source of this 435-nucleotide long non-coding RNA. RefSeq lists it as uncharacterized. Lineage: Eukaryota; Metazoa; Chordata; Actinopteri; Salmoniformes; Salmonidae. The record is from RefSeq and is a predicted model, not a curated record. The transcript is spliced from 3 exons.
CCGGUCUACCUGGUUAAAUAAAGGUGAUCUGGUCUACCUGGUUAAAUAAAGGUGAUCCGGUCUACCCGGUUAAAUAAAGGUGAUCCGGUCUACCCGGUUAAAUAAAGGUGAUCUGGUCUACCCGGUUAAAUAAAGGUGAUCCGGUCUACCUGGUUAAAUAAAGGUGAUCCGGUCUACCCGGUUAUAUAAAGGUGAUCUGGUCUACCCGGUUAAAUAAAGGUGAUCUGGUCUACCUGGUUAAAUAAAGGUGAUCUGGUCUACCUGGUUAAAUAAAGGUGAUCUGGUCUACCCGGUUAAAUAAAGGUGAUCUGGUCUACCUGGUUAAAUAAAGGUGAUCUGGUCUACCUGGUUAAAUAAAGGUGAUCUGGUCUACCUGGUUAAAUAAAGGUGAUCUGGUCUACCUGGUUAAAUAAAGGUGAUCUGGUCUACCUGGUU